RNAcentral lists this ribosomal RNA (1437 nucleotides) under uncultured organism. RNAcentral describes it as "SSU rRNA". It matches the Rfam family "Bacterial small subunit ribosomal RNA". The record is from RNAcentral.
UACAGGCUUAACACAUGCAAGUCGAGGGGCAGCAUGGUCUUAGCUUGCUAAGGCCGAUGGCGACCGGCGCACGGGUGAGUAACACGUAUCCAACCUGCCGUCUACUCUUGGACAGCCUUCUGAAAGGAAGAUUAAUACAAGAUGGCAUCAUGAGUCCGCAUGUUCACAUGAUUAAAGGUAUUCCGGUAGACGAUGGGGAUGCGUUCCAUUAGAUAGUAGGCGGGGUAACGGCCCACCUAGUCUUCGAUGGAUAGGGGUUCUGAGAGGAAGGUCCCCCACAUUGGAACUGAGACACGGUCCAAACUCCUACGGGAGGCAGCAGUGAGGAAUAUUGGUCAAUGGGCGAGAGCCUGAACCAGCCAAGUAGCGUGAAGGAUGACUGCCCUAUGGGUUGUAAACUUCUUUUAUAAAGGAAUAAAGUCGGGUAUGGAUACCCGUUUGCAUGUACUUUAUGAAUAAGGAUCGGCUAACUCCGUGCCAGCAGCCGCGGUAAUACGGAGGAUCCGAGCGUUAUCCGGAUUUAUUGGGUUUAAAGGGAGCGUAGAUGGAUGUUUAAGUCAGUUGUGAAAGUUUGCGGCUCAACCGUAAAAUUGCAGUUGAUACUGGAUAUCUUGAGUGCAGUUGAGGCAGGCGGAAUUCGUGGUGUAGCGGUGAAAUGCUUAGAUAUCACGAAGAACUCCGAUUGCGAAGGCAGCCUGCUAAGCUGCAACUGACAUUGAGGCUCGAAAGUGUGGGUAUCAAACAGGAUUAGAUACCCUGGUAGUCCACACGGUAAACGAUGAAUACUCGCUGUUUGCGAUAUACUGCAAGCGGCCAAGCGAAAGCGUUAAGUAUUCCACCUGGGGAGUACGCCGGCAACGGUGAAACUCAAAGGAAUUGACGGGGGCCCGCACAAGCGGAGGAACAUGUGGUUUAAUUCGAUGAUACGCGAGGAACCUUACCCGGGCUUAAAUUGCAGAUGAAUUACGGUGAAAGCCGUAAGCCGCAAGGCAUCUGUGAAGGUGCUGCAUGGUUGUCGUCAGCUCGUGCCGUGAGGUGUCGGCUUAAGUGUCAUAACGAGCGCAACCCUUGUUGUCAGUUACUAACAGGUUCCGCUGAGGACUCUGACAAGACUGCCAUCGUAAGAUGUGAGGAAGGUGGGGAUGACGUCAAAUCAGCACGGCCCUUACGUCCGGGGCUACACACGUGUUACAAUGGGGGGUACAGAGGGCCGCUACCACGCGAGUGGAUGCCAAUCCCCAAAACCUCUCUCAGUUCGGACUGGAGUCUGCAACCCGACUCCACGAAGCUGGAUUCGCUAGUAAUCGCGCAUCAGCCACGGCGCGGUGAAUACGUUCCCGGGCCUUGUACACACCGCCCGUCAAGCCAUGGGAGCCGGGGGUACCUGAAGUGCGUAACCGCGAGGAGCGCCCUAGGGUAAAACUGGUGACUGGGGCU